GGGAAUGUUUUGGUUUCGACAGGAUAAAAAGCUUAUUACUAGCAAGUAGACGGGAGUCUUUAAAUCCAACUUUAAAUUAAUCGGAAACGAUAAUUACGCUUUAGCUGCCUAGUUACGCGGCUCGUCUCCAUUUGAAUUUGCCAUUGUUGAUUUGGAAGACGUCAUUUUAAAUGGCUUACUCUAGUGUAUGAUUAUGUCAUUUGAGGACAACUUAUAAUCUCGCUUUUAGACUUUUGUUCAUUUAAUAUCUAAAAGUUAAAGCGUUAAAUGAACUAAACUUGUAGAAGGUAGUAAGGACUUUCUAUUUUGGACACGGGUUCGAUUCCCGUCAUUUCCACCA
This 340-nucleotide transfer-messenger RNA is filed under the name Leptotrichia sp. oral taxon 221. It matches the Rfam family "transfer-messenger RNA". From Rfam's summary of the family: Bacterial tmRNA, also known as 10Sa RNA or SsrA, is named for its dual tRNA and mRNA-like properties. Its role is to liberate the mRNA from a stalled ribosome. Lineage: Bacteria; Fusobacteriati; Fusobacteriota; Fusobacteriia; Fusobacteriales; Leptotrichiaceae. RNAcentral also lists the same sequence under 1 other name. The record is from RNAcentral.